This 466-nucleotide ribosomal RNA is filed under the name uncultured bacterium. RNAcentral describes it as "partial 16S ribosomal RNA". It matches the Rfam family "Bacterial small subunit ribosomal RNA", at positions 28 to 506 of the family's 1533-position model. The record is from RNAcentral.
GACGAACGCUGGCGGCGUGCUUAACACAUGCAAGUCGAACGGAAAGGCCCUGCUUUUGUGGGGUGCUCGAGUGGCGAACGGGUGAGUAACACGUGAGUAACCUGCCCUUGACUUUGGGAUAACUUCAGGAAACUGGGGCUAAUACCGGAUAGGAGCUCCUGCUGCAUGGUGGGGGUUGGAAAGUUUCGGCGGUUGGGGAUGGACUCGCGGCUUAUCAGCUUGUUGGUGGGGUAGUGGCUUACCAAGGCUUUGACGGGUAGCCGGCCUGAGAGGGUGACCGGCCACAUUGGGACUGAGAUACGGCCCAGACUCCUACGGGAGGCAGCAGUGGGGAAUAUUGCACAAUGGGCGGAAGCCUGAUGCAGCAACGCCGCGUGCGGGAUGACGGCCUUCGGGUUGUAAACCGCUUUCGCCUGUGACGAACGUGAGUGACGGUAAUGGGUAAAGAAGCACCGGCUAACUACGU